RNAcentral lists this ribosomal RNA (2728 nucleotides) under Streptomyces albus. Its description in RNAcentral is "partial 23S ribosomal RNA". It matches the Rfam family "Bacterial large subunit ribosomal RNA". Lineage: Bacteria; Bacillati; Actinomycetota; Actinomycetes; Kitasatosporales; Streptomycetaceae. The record is from RNAcentral.
AGUCGUCUGCCGGCGGCUGGGCGAGUCAGAAAUUGUGGGUGUAGGCGAAGGGCAUGCGAAAGGCCCGGCGUAGAGGGUAAGACCCCCGUAGCUGAAACAUCUGCAACUCGCUUGUGGGUUUCCCAAGUAGCAUGGGGCCCGAGAAAUCCUGUGUGAAUCUGGCGGGACCACCCGUCAAGCCUAAAUAUUCCCUGGUGACCGAUAGCGGAUAGUACCGUGAGGGAAUGGUGAAAAGUACCGCGGGAGCGGAGUGUCGUGACUGCGUGCCUUUUGAAGAAUGAGCCUGCGAGUUUGCGGCAUGUUGCGAGGUUAACCCGUGUGGGGGAGCCGUAGCGAAAGCGAGUCCGAAGAGGGCGUUGAGUAGCGUGUUCAAGACCCGAAGCGGGGUGAUCUAGCCAUGGGCAGGGUGAAGCGGCUGUAAGAGGUCGUGGAGGCCCGAACCCACCAGGGUUGAAAACCUGGGGGAUGACCUGUGGUUAGGGGUGAAAGGCCAAUCAAACUCCGUGAUAGCUGGUUCUCCCCGAAAUGCAUUUAGGUGCAGCGUCGUGUGUUUCUUGCCGGAGGUAGAGCACUGGAUAGGCGAUGGGCCUUACCGGGUUACUGACCUUAGCCAAACUCCGAAUGCCGGUAAGUGAGAGCGCGGCAGUGAGACUGUGGGGGAUAAGCUCCAUGGUCGAGAGGGAAACAGCCCAGAGCAUCGACUAAGGCCCCUAAGCGUGUGCUAAGUGGGAAAGGAUGUGGAGUCGCAGAGACAACCAGGAGGUUGGCUUAGAAGCAGCCAUCCUUGAAAGAGUGCGUAAUAGCUCACUGGUCAAGUGAUUCUGCGCCGAUAAUGUAGCGGGGCUCAAGUACACCGCCGAAGUCGUGUCACUCCAGCAGUACUCCUAACGGGGGCUGGGGUGGGUAGGGGAGCGUCGUGUGCCGGGUGAAGCAGCCGUGGAAGCGAGUUGUGGACGGUUCACGAGUGAGAAUGCAGGCAUGAGUAGCGAUACAUGCGUGAGAAACGUGUGCGCCGAUUGACUAAGGGUUCCUGGGUCAAGCUGAUCUGCCCAGGGUAAGUCGGGACCUAAGGCGAGGCCGACAGGCGUAGUCGAUGGAGAACCGGUUGAUAUUCCGGUACCCGCUAUGCAGCGUCAAACAUCGAAUCAGGUGAUGCUAAGUCCGUGAUACCGCUUGUGCUGGCUUUGCCGGUGCGGGUUUGGUGGAGCCGACGGCCCGAGCUUGUAGUAGGUGAGUGAUGGGGUGACGCAGUGAGGUAGUCCAGCCCGGGUGAUGGUUGUCCCGGGGUAAGGGUGUAGCCCGGUGUGCAGGUAAAUCCGUGCGCCGUUACAGGGGUGAGACCUGAUGCCGAGCCGUUUGUGGUGAAGUGGGUGAUCCUGUGCUGUCGAGAAAAGCCUCUAGCGAGUUGUGUGGCGGCCCGUACCCUAAACCGACUCAGGUGGUCUGGUAGAGAAUACCGAGGCGUUCGGGUGAACUAUGGUUAAGGAACUCGGCAAAAUGCCCCCGUAACUUCGGGAGAAGGGGGGCCUCCUCUGGUGAUCCAGCGUGCUUGGUGAGCUGGGGGUGGCCGCAGAGACCAGCGAGAAGCGACUGUUUACUAAAAACACAGGUCCGUGCGAAGCCGUAAGGCGAUGUAUACGGACUGACGCCUGCCCGGUGCUGGAACGUUAAGGGGACCGGUUAGCUCCAUUUCGGUGGGGUGAAGCUGAGAACUUAAGCGCCAGUAAACGGCGGUGGUAACUAUAACCAUCCUAAGGUAGCGAAAUUCCUUGUCGGGUAAGUUCCGACCUGCACGAAUGGCGUAACGACUUCUUGACUGUCUCAACCAUAGGCCCGGUGAAAUUGCAGUACGAGUAAAGAUGCUCGUUUCGCGCAGCAGGACGGAAAGACCCCGGGACCUUUACUACAGCUUGAUAUUGGUGUUCGGUUCGGCUUGUGUAGGAUAGGUGGGAGACUGUGAAGCGGGCACGCCAGUGUUCGUGGAGUCGUUGUUGAAAUACCACUCUGGUCGUGCUGGAUGUCUAACCUGGGUCCGUGAUCCGGAUCGGGGACAGUGUCUGGUGGGUAGUUUAACUGGGGCGGUUGCCUCCUAAAGGGUAACGGAGGCGCCCAAAGGUUCCCUCAGCCUGGUUGGUCAUCAGGUGGUGAGUGUAAGUGCACAAGGGAGCUUGACUGUGAGACUGACGGGUCGAGCAGGGACGAAAGUCGGGACUAGUGAUCCGGCGGUGGCUUGUGGAAGCGCCGUCGCUCAACGGAUAAAAGGUACCCCGGGGAUAACAGGCUGAUCUUCCCCAAGAGUCCAUAUCGACGGGAUGGUUUGGCACCUCGAUGUCGGCUCGUCGCAUCCUGGGGCUGGAGUCGGUCCCAAGGGUUGGGCUGUUCGCCCAUUAAAGCGGUACGCGAGCUGGGUUUAGAACGUCGUGAGACAGUUCGGUCCCUAUCCGCUGCGCGCGUUGGAGUCUUGAGAAGGGCUGUCCCUAGUACGAGAGGACCGGGACGGACGGACCUCUGGUGUGCCAGUUGUUCUGCCAAGGGCAUGGCUGGUUGGCUACGUUCGGGAAGGAUAACCGCUGAAAGCAUCUAAGCGGGAAGCCUGCUUCGAGAUGAGGACUCCCGCCCCCUUUGAGGGGUUAAGGCUCCCUGGAGAUGACGGGGUUGAUAGGCCGGAUCUGGAAGCACGGUAACGUGUGGAGGUGACCGGUACUAAUAGGCCGAGGGCUUGUCCGUA